Long non-coding RNA from Psammomys obesus (fat sand rat), 5950 nucleotides. RefSeq lists it as uncharacterized. The record is from RefSeq and is a predicted model, not a curated record. The transcript has 2 exons. NCBI's taxonomy places the organism in Eukaryota, Metazoa, Chordata, Mammalia, Rodentia, Muridae.
UUAUAACUGCUCUGGACUUUCUCGAGUAAUAGGCUGGUGGCUACAGUGUAAUAGCAUGUGACCUGUCAUCUUUUCCUCUGUGAUUGACAGUCCACUCUGUAGUAACAUCUGUAGCCAUCUUCAAGCUUUUCCAGUAGCAUAAAGCAAUUGCCUCCAAAGCAUGUCAUGCUUUGAGUUUUCAUUUGAAGAAAAUGUGUUACUUUGGGUCCAAAUGUGCACCUCAGAGCACACUGAGUGACAACAAGGACACUUUUAUUUCUGGUGGAUGAUACCACCCAUUGUCAGUAAGAGGUUAGGGUUACCAAGAAAAUUUGAAAUAAAUGACUCUUGAUAGAAAUAUGGGAGCUAUAUAGUUAUCAAUUUUCUUGUAACAAAUUACUCCCAAAAUAUAGCCCAAGCAUGUAUUUCUUCUCACAGUUCUUGACGUUGAAAAAUUUAAGAACCAAUGAGUUGGUGAUUCUGGCUUAGGGUACCAAGAGAUUGCAUCUUCCGCUGUCAGCUGAAGUGUCCUAAGGCCCUGGACACUUGACUGGGCCUGAGGCUCUGUUUCCAACCAAGGGCCUGGGGCAAGAAGUUUUCACUCCUUGGUCUAUGAACAUUUCUAUGGACCUGCCAUGGCACAGGGGCAUGGUUGUCCCACAGAGGUAGCUGGCAAUCUAAGCAGAAGCUGCGGUAUUUUUACAAUAGAAUCCAAGGUUUAACAGUUCAGAGCCUGUGCCAUAGUGUGUUAGCUGUGAAGACAGCUCUGUAACGGUGUGAGAAGGAAGCACACAAGAACAUAAACACCAGGAAACAGGACUCACUGGACAGCAUUCUGAGGCAGGGUAACACCCCUCGCCCCCCAAAAAAAAAACUGAAUUUAAAGAAUAAGCUGCCUUUUAACUAAGCUAACUUUAAACAAAGCUAACUAGAAACAAGGCUAACUUUAUGCCUACUCUUAUCAACAGAAAUUAGCUAAGAAUUUUAUUUACAAUUUCAUUUCCACUAUCACAUUCAUUUCACUUUUUCUCUCUAGAUAAUUAAAGGCAAAGACAGCCUGUAAAGGCUACUUUAAAAAAAAGUCAUCAAAAUUUAAGACUUGUGAUAAAAAUGUAUGUACCAGUUGUUUGCCCUGUCAGAAUCCCUUCACAAGUUAAUAGAUGGUUGACAUAAAAGCUGACAUAUGGCCAUUUUGACUGAAACUUUUCUAAUAGUGUGGUAAUCUUUGUAGGCCAAGGAAGAACAGAACUGAUGAACUGAUUAAACUGGAGUUGUAAUACAAGUACCUCUAAAGUCUCUUUUUCCUCUUGAAUAUCAGCAGGCAAGGCUGAGGUUGAGCAGGGAGGGAAGGCUAAGGACAUGCAUGACACAUACAGAAGAUAUUCUAGCCCCAUGGCAAGGAUUCCCCUCUGGCCUUAAAGGAAGAGGAGGAAAUGAUUUGGGCUCCGUCAAGUUUCUUGCAUGCUUAGCUUGAUACCAUGGUUUAUGGACACUGUCUAAACGUGAUUUUCCUACUCUUUUCAGUUCUGAAAGGUGCCUUGGUUUGCAUGGAGAUUUUCAUAUUCGCUCUAAUUUUAUGUUUUUACAAAAAGAUUGACUUCCUUUCAAUUAUCCUCCCCCCCACCCCAGGAGAAAGAUCAUCAACAUUCCUUGAACGCCACACAUCAUGCUGAUAAAAUUCCUUUCCUUGAGUCGCUGGGUAUACCAAGUCCUCCUAGAACUCCAGUGAACGUUGUGCCUCAAAUUAGAAUAGAACUUGAGCCUGAAGACAACGAUUAUCUUUGGAGGAGCAAGGGAACAGAAACCACAUUGUAACCUGUGUGUCUUUCUCAAACCUGAUAGUUCUGUCGUUAACUGUUCUAAUUUUUUUUCCUUUUUAUGUCUAUGUAUUUUAAAACCUUUGUUCGGUCACUGGCUGAAUAAUACAGUCACUUUCUCUGCUUCUGUCUUGCAUAGGUAAAAUCAAGACAAUACCGUCCCUUUUCUUAAAAAAAAAAAAAUGCAACUGAGGGGUCACAUUUCUGUUUCCAUGCAUUCAGGUGUGUCCUCUGAUCUGUAAAUUCCUGCCACUCACGACACACAGAAACCACCCCUGUCAAGCAGAGAUCAAAAGCAUUAGGGAAAUUUGCACCACCUUUUAGGAAACUAUUGAAGGAACUUACAACCUAAGCUUCGAGCUGUGCUUCCUGGCUUGGCUCUGUCUGGUAGGGCAGCCCUUGUACUGCAGACAGAGUCCCUUCUUGCUUUACAGAGCCCCCAAAACUGGAAAAGUGCUGCUACCAAUCUUCCCUUGCUCGCCAACCCUGAUCUUAGAGUUAUCAAAAGCUGAAAACACUAACGGUACUUCGCUCCCUGUAGAGAAAUCUUUGCCACCUUUGUAGCAAGUACUGCAAUGUCACUUUUCCUAUGCAACUUUUUUUAACCCUUUAAUGAACUUAUCUGUUGAGUACAUUGAAGAAUAUUUUUCUUCCUAGAUUUUGUUGUUUAAAUUAUGGGGCCUAACCUGCAACUUAUUUUUUUUUUGUCAACUUUUUAAACUUUUUUUUUAAUUACUGUAAAGAAAAUGAAUUUUUUCCUGCAGCAGGAAACAUAGUUUUGAGUAGUUCUACCUCUGACCUGUAGCUGCCAGGCUUUCUGUAAAAAUUGUAUUGUAUAUAAUGUGAUUUUUACACACGUGUGCAUACACAUCCACGCGCGUGCUCUCACGCGCACACACACACACACACACACACACACACACACACACACACACUCUAGGGUAAGCCAGAAGGCUAGAACAAAUGAAAAGAAAAACAAAACACCAUGUUUCUAAGAAUCUAUUGGGUUGUUGGUUUUUGGGUUGUUUUCUUUUUUCUCCCUUUCUUCAAAAUAAAUGUAACUGUUCUGUGAAGGAAUUUGGGGAGGAGAGAGAAAACCUGGAAGAAGGGUAACUUCUGUUAUAGGGAUGGUCAUGCCGGAACAGACUAUGCUGUGUUACAAUAUGGAUGUCCUACGCAGUAUUGUUAGGGAUUUCCUCGUCUAAAUAAUUUGUGUGUUUGUACAUGGACUCUGUGUGUGGCUGUUGCUCACUUGUGCAAAGCCAGAGAAAGAAUGAGAGUAGUCAGAGGGCAAAGUUGUCAAGCUCCUUGUGUCCAUUUUUAUAAAACCUCAACCACUCAUGAGAAAUCUGUCGGGGGCCAAAAAAAAAAAAAACAAAAAACAAAAAAACCAUGUAUCGUGUAACUUCAGGCGAAUAUAUAUCUUAUCACUCAGGCAUCACCGUCAACAUCACAGAUACAGCAGUCCAUACCUACAAUACAAAAGCCAUCAGAAUGUCAACAGCCCAGUCACACAGCUCAUACAUGGAGUAGGCGUGCACCAUAGAUCUGCAAAGAAAGCUUCAAGUGCUCAUUUCCACGCGCUUAUAGGGCAGGGUUGUUGAACCACUUAGGCUAUAUGUGUGUGUGUAUGUGUGUGUUCCGAUACGCCAUGUUGAAAAUUAGACCUUUGUUAGCCAAAUUGAGUGUGGCAUUUGAUUGCAAUAUUUCUAGUAAGUUAUAUCAUAUGCUACACCGAUCAUAUAAUAACAGUUUAGAUGUGGGAUCCAUACUUUUAGACUUGCGGAACAGCAGUUGGGAUACACACUCCCUGUAAUAGGUUGCUGGAGGAGAAUAGAACCAUACACUGGUUCUGGGGUGUGUUCUUAUGGACACCCCCUUUCUUACGUUAACUGAAAUAUAAUUCUGCCCUCCUGAAAUUUUGAGGAUAACGGUCUUGUUAUCCUAAGUUAACUGUUAAUGUUCAUAGCAUUCGGUCAUCUUGAAACCUUAGAUUUUAUAGAAAUUAGGCAUGAAUUGACCCCAGUCUUUUUCAUUAAAAUGAUAGCAGCAAAUAACAUGUCUGCUAACAUCUCAAGUAAUAAUCUUUCUUUUUUUACAUCACAUUUGUAUUCAGAACUGUCCUUAAAAAUGAUUAUUAUGCGGUAUCUGGCUUUCUAUUGAACCUUGUAACCUUACAUUUUUAGUGAUAGAUCCAUCAGUGAAAUGUUUAAAAGCAUGCAUAGCAAAUGCAGUCUAACCAUGAUGUUAAAUCAAAGCCGCUUGGAUCAUGUUUGUGAAAUCUCUGGUUAUAUAUAUAUAUAACAUAUAUAAUAUAAUAUAUAUAUUAUAUAUAUAACUUUCAAAUUAUGAAUCAAGUUUAUGUAGGGAUUCAUGAUCCUCCUCUUACUUUUCAGAGAGCUCCUGGAGUAAUUUAUCAUUUCAGUGUUUGAGGAGCUCUUGAGGUUCUCUCACGCCAUUUAUGGUCCCUCGUCUGUGGCUGGGGUGGGUGGUUAGUGUUCACGGAAUGAACACAAAGCCAUCCCUCACAUCUGCUGCAGGAACAGUGAACAGCAGGCACUCUCAUAACCACUGUAGUUCCCAUGCUAACCUCCAUGGCCUCACCCCAGGAUCUGAAUCUGGCUGAAUUUGCUUAAUUGGUUGAUAGCUAAGCAGAUUUCAUGGUGGUUUUGUUUCUAUGUAAACUGGACACAAAUACAGCAAUGAAUUCUUUAAAAUGCCUUUCUACCCUUCCUCCCUGGAUGUGAACUUGGAGAUAAAUGUUUCUUGAAGACUCCAAGUUGUUGACCAGGAAUACUGUGGUUGUGCAAAACUGGCUGUGAGAACAAGAUGGGCAGGCUGAGCCUGCCUGUCUUUGAAGCGUCGAAGCCUCCAUUUUGCAGAAACCCUUAAGAUGCUCGUCUUUUUCUACUGUGUGCAGAAACUACUUGGAAUCCUAUUUGUUUUGUGUGUCAGAGGCCGUGUUGUUUCUGCUUCUUCUUCUUCUGGAAAAGUUGAGGGGUGGGGCUGGGAAGUACUUACUUGAGAAGAGGCAAACUAAACCUUGCCCCUCAUCCCUAACCUAAGAGAAGCAGGGAGGGGUCUGCUGUCAAUAACUUAGCUUAUGUGCAUUUUGGGCACAUGUAAGAACACACACAGAGGAAAUCCUUUGUCAGCUAUGUGUUGCUGUUUAAUAUAGCAAAUGAUUGUCUUCCAUGUUUUUGUUUCUUUUUUUUUUUUUUUAACUGUGUUAAAGUACUUGAAAUGUAUUGACUGCUGACUAUCUUUUAAAAACAAAACCAUUUGAGUUAUAUUACAAAGGUUGGCAUUGAUCGGGAAUGGGACAGAGUUUUCUUCAGUCUUUUUCAUGCCGCUUCAUGAUUUUGGUGCAAGAAUCUGAGGUUUUCUUCUUUAUAUUCUGGGAUAUUUCCCGUCUGCUUUCCCAGCACGACCAUGAAGGCCAGUUGGUACGAAGUGACUGGGGACAGUCGGAAGACAGCAGUACUUCCCUGUCACAACAGCCUUGGGAGUUGUCAGAUGACCUCAUGGAGCUUCAUGGCAGCCAGAAAUGAAAACCCUUUUGUAAUAUAUGUGAAUCUGGCAGGCUGUGUUUUAACCAGAGAUCUGGAUAGAUCUUAUUCCUGGCUCAUUUCAUUGUGCUCUAUGGAUACACACAAGAAUCCUGAAUUUUGUUUCCUAGGCAAAUACUGCAACUCAGGGCUAAAGUCACCCAAUGAAUCCUUAGAGCCUGAAGUCUCUUUCUCCCAGGCCAACAAUGUACAACAAAUGCUGACUUGCCUCCUUGCAGCCAUUUUCAUGGCUGGCACAUAUCCGUACACUUCACUUUUCACAAUCAGUACGCACUUUCAGAUAUUCUUAUUUUUAUUCUCUUAAGUCUUUAUUAACUUUGGAGAAAUGAUGCUUCUUUUUAUUUUAAAUGAAGUAGAUCAACAUGGUGGAACAAAAUGAUAAAGAACAGAAAACAUUUCAAUAUAUUACUAAUAAUUUUUUUCCAAUAUGAAACCUAAAAUUCCUAUAACAUAGUAUUUUGCAGUUUUAUGAAGCUUUCUAUUGUGACUUUUAUGGAAUUAAGAGAUGAAGAAGAUGAGAUAUUUUAGCAUUUAUAUUUUUCAAAAUUAAAUGUAUACUUAAAAUAAAGUAACUUUAUGCAUUUA